CGGGGGCCCGCACAAGCGGUGGAGCAUGUGGUUUAAUUCGAUGCAACGCGAAGAACCUUACCUACUCUUGACAUCCAGAGAACUUAGCAGAGAUGCUUUGGUGCCUUCGGGAACUCUGAGACAGGUGCUGCAUGGCUGUCGUCAGCUCGUGUUGUGAAAUGUUGGGUUAAGUCCCGCAACGAGCGCAACCCUUAUCCUUUGUUGCCAGCGGUUCGGCCGGGAACUCAAAGGAGACUGCCAGUGAUAAACUGGAGGAAGGUGGGGAUGACGUCAAGUCAUCAUGGCCCUUACGAGUAGGGCUACACACGUGCUACAAUGGCAUAUACAAAGAGAAGCGACCUCGCGAGAGCAAGCGGACCUCAUAAAGUAUGUCGUAGUCCGGAUUGGAGUCUGCAACUCGACUCCAUGAAGUCGGA
This 416-nucleotide ribosomal RNA is filed under the name Citrobacter sp. RNAcentral's name for it is "bacterial SSU rRNA". It matches the Rfam family "Bacterial small subunit ribosomal RNA", at positions 914 to 1330 of the family's 1533-position model. The record is from RNAcentral. Lineage: Bacteria; Pseudomonadati; Pseudomonadota; Gammaproteobacteria; Enterobacterales; Enterobacteriaceae.